UGCAGUAUGCCUCACCCCCCUGGGGGGGCUGGGGAGCCUGGGCACGGGGGCAUGUCUGGGCUGCAAGAUAGGCAUCGGUAUCCACAGAAUUGGCCCGCAAACACCCCAGCCCCCUCCGCCCCGUCCCGGAUGUCAGAAAAUUUCCCGGGACACGGUGGGCCCACCGGGGCCCAUUUUCGGAAAAAUUCAAAAAUGGAGCAUGGGCAUCGCCCUUGCUUUAGGCAUACAUGGGGCUUUAUUUUCUUAUUGUAGGUGAGGC
RNAcentral lists this long non-coding RNA (259 nucleotides) under Ricinus communis (castor bean). RNAcentral describes it as "long non-coding RNA (RCOM_LNC003800)". The record is from RNAcentral. Lineage: Eukaryota; Viridiplantae; Streptophyta; Magnoliopsida; Malpighiales; Euphorbiaceae.